GACCAGAGGAAAGAGUGUAAGUGCCUCUCUUUCACAACAUUUUUGUGGCGAUUCAAAUAAAUUAGCGUAUUUGUGCGCCUUGCACUUUACUAAAGGACAGGUACCUUUUUGAACAGACCCAAUGGAUGCAGAUAGAAGAAAAGGCAAAUACCCUGAUCCAGGGACUGGGAUCAGGAUGUUUUGAUUUGUGAUAAAGUAAGGCACAUGUUGAGUGACCAAAGAAAUUCUCAGGAAAAUGCUGCUUCAGAUCGCAGACUGCAUGUUAAGAGAAGUGUGCUGAGGUUUAACGGGAUUUUUAUGUGCUAGAGAACACACCACAUGCCUAUUCAGAGAUGGAGACAAUCCCCUGAAACAUAUACACAACAUUCUGAUGCACAUAUGGGGGUUUCCUGGUUCUGCUUGCUGGCUGGAGGCUGUGAGGGAAGUGGAUUUGAGUCUUCAGCAUCUAUCAGUCUGCAAAAGAGCCACUCUGACAUAGGGAGCAGUCUGCUAUCUCUCAUUCUAUAACUGGUUGUUGUGCAUUAGAUUUC
Molecule: long non-coding RNA, 530 nt
Organism: Mauremys mutica (yellowpond turtle)
Lineage: Eukaryota; Metazoa; Chordata; Testudines; Geoemydidae
Exons: 4
Source: RefSeq, a predicted model, not a curated record